Molecule: ribosomal RNA, 477 nt
Filed under: Pseudomonas frederiksbergensis
Lineage: Bacteria; Pseudomonadati; Pseudomonadota; Gammaproteobacteria; Pseudomonadales; Pseudomonadaceae
Description: bacterial SSU rRNA
Rfam family: Bacterial small subunit ribosomal RNA
Source: RNAcentral
GUUUGAUCCUGGCUCAGAUUGAACGCUGGCGGCAGGCCUAACACAUGCAAGUCGAGCGGCAGCACGGGUACUUGUACCUGGUGGCGAGCGGCGGACGGGUGAGUAAUGCCUAGGAAUCUGCCUGGUAGUGGGGGAUAACGCUCGGAAACGGACGCUAAUACCGCAUACGUCCUACGGGAGAAAGCAGGGGACCUUCGGGCCUUGCGCUAUCAGAUGAGCCUAGGUCGGAUUAGCUAGUUGGUGAGGUAAUGGCUCACCAAGGCGACGAUCCGUAACUGGUCUGAGAGGAUGAUCAGUCACACUGGAACUGAGACACGGUCCAGACUCCUACGGGAGGCAGCAGUGGGGAAUAUUGGACAAUGGGCGAAAGCCUGAUCCAGCCAUGCCGCGUGUGUGAAGAAGGUCUUCGGAUUGUAAAGCACUUUAAGUUGGGAGGAAGGGCAUUUACCUAAUACGUAAGUGUUUUGACGUACCGAC